AUGAGUGAUACAAAGGUUUUACAGCACUUCUUAGGAAUUGUAAACUAUGCGCGAAACUAUAUAGAUAACUUAGCAAAGCUAGCAGGACCUUUAUAUGCUAAAUUAAGAAAAAAUGGUCAAAGAUACUUCAAUUCUGAAGAUAUAAAAUUAGUAAAGGCCAUCAAAGAAAAAGUCAAGAAUUUAAAACCCCUAGAAUUGCCUCUAGAAGACAAUUAUUUUAUAAUUGAGACAGAUGCAUCUAAGGUAGGAUGGGGUGCGAUACUAAAACAAAAGCCCAAUAAAUACUCUCCAAAAGCAGAUGAAAAAAUAUGCAGAUAUGCGUCAGGAAGUUACAAAUUAAAGACGGUAAAUAAUAUUGAUAGGGAAAUCCUUGCAGUUGUAAAUGCAAUAAAUGCAUUUAGGCUAUAUCUAGGAUUUAAAGAAUUUACGGUGCGAACAGACUGUGAAGCUAUAUGUCGAUAUUACAAUAAAAUUAAUAGUAAGAAAAGCUCAACCAGAAGAUGGGUCUUAUUUGAAGACAGCUAG
This 525-nucleotide ribosomal RNA is filed under the name Triticum aestivum (bread wheat). RNAcentral describes it as "partial small subunit ribosomal RNA". The record is from RNAcentral. Lineage: Eukaryota; Viridiplantae; Streptophyta; Magnoliopsida; Poales; Poaceae.